RNAcentral lists this ribosomal RNA (434 nucleotides) under uncultured Clostridium sp. Its description in RNAcentral is "partial 16S ribosomal RNA". It matches the Rfam family "Bacterial small subunit ribosomal RNA", at positions 341 to 792 of the family's 1533-position model. The record is from RNAcentral. Lineage: Bacteria; Bacillati; Bacillota; Clostridia; Eubacteriales; Clostridiaceae.
ACGGGAGGCAGCAGUGGGGAAUAUUGGACAAUGGGGGAAACCCUGAUGCAGCGACGCCGCGUGAGUGAAGAAGUGUUUCGGUAUGUAAAGCUCUAUCAGCAGGAAAGAAAAUGACGGUACCUGACUAAGAAGCCCCGGCUAACUACGUGCCAGCAGCCGCGGUAAUACGUAGGGGGCAAGCGUUAUCCGGAUUUACUGGGUGUAAAGGGAGCGUAGACGGCUUUGCAAGUCUGAAGUGAAAGCCCGGGGCUCAGCCCCGGAACUGCUUUGGAAACUGUAGAGCUAGAGUGCAGGAGAGGUAAGUGGAAUUCCUAGUGUAGCGGUGAAAUGCGUAGAUAUUAGGAGGAACACCAGUGGCGAAGGCGGCUUACUGGACUGUAACUGACGUUGAGGCUCGAAGGCGUGGGGAGCAAACAGGAUUAGAUACCCUGGUA